AUGAAGGGAGGUGCAGUCCAGAGGCAGCAGAUUCACAGCCUGUGUGUUUUGGACUCCCCGUGUGCAGUGCUCAAGGAAUAUAGCUCUGUAUUUCCUUUUGGGAUUUCUCAAACAUUCUUCUUAUCUGUCACGUAUGGGAGCAACCAAAUUCAGUUCAAAAUCCUGAACAGAAGCAGGAAUGACAACAUUACUGGAAAAACUGUUUUUAGCUGAUUGGGAACUGUUUGGUGCUGUUUGCUCCCUGCCUGUCAAAACACAAAUCACUACAAGUCAAGCAGAGUCUUCAUUUGCAUUCAUGCUUUGCUGUGGCUCUCAGCUACUUUCCUGGGUGGAAAAGGAAGCAGGAUAUACUCCAGAGGCUACAGAUCUGCAAGAAUACUAGAAUAUCUUGUCUGACUUUUGUUUAGUAAUAGGUGCCUCAGGCACCCGAGGUUUGGGAAGAGAUGAAAGCCUCCAGGAAUAUAUUCAGAGUGCUGAUGGCCUGGGCUGUCACUGGGUGUUAGGCAUAUGAGCUUUGGACCUAUGAGACCUGCACCCACUUCCUCAAGGGAGACCAGACCAAGUCUGAAUGUUUUUAGGGGAAGUUAAGGUCAAGCAGGAUUAUCUAAAAUGUUCAAGCAAACAAGGCAGAUGAGUCCCACUGAAUUAGAAUAAAACUGUAGAUGUUAACGUAGGAACUUCA
Molecule: long non-coding RNA, 682 nt
Filed under: Anas platyrhynchos platyrhynchos (common mallard)
Lineage: Eukaryota; Metazoa; Chordata; Aves; Anseriformes; Anatidae
Description: lncRNA (ENSAPLG00000022958.1)
Source: RNAcentral